ACAACAUUCGGACCGUCAGUUUAUCGAGCAAUAGCACACGCUCGGUGGAAGAUCUUCAUCUCCU
Molecule: microRNA precursor, 64 nt
Filed under: Bombyx mori (domestic silkworm)
Lineage: Eukaryota; Metazoa; Arthropoda; Insecta; Lepidoptera; Bombycidae
Description: mir-2774 microRNA precursor family
Rfam family: mir-2774 microRNA precursor family
Source: Rfam by way of RNAcentral